AGCUCCAAUAGCGUAUAUUAAAGUUGUUGCAGUUAAAAAGCUCGUAGUUGGAUUUCUGAUUUGAAUGUUUGGUCCGCUUGUUAAUUCAAGUGUGUACUAUGAUAUUUGGGUCAUUUUUUGUGAGGAAAUUUUACUGCUAUUUAUUUAGUGGUUUUAUUGACUUGCAUCGUUUACUGUGAAAAAAUUAGAGUGUUUAAAGCAGGCGUUUGCCUUUUAUUGAAUACAUUAGCAUGGAAUAAUAAGAUACGACCUUGGUGGUCUAUUUUGUUGGUUUACACGCCAGGGUAAUGAUUAAUAGGGACAGUUGGGGGUAUUCAUAUUUCAGUGUCAGAGGUGAAAUUCUUGGAUCACUGAAAGAUGAACUUAGGCGAAAGCAUUUACCAUGGAUGUUUUCAUUA
RNAcentral lists this ribosomal RNA (398 nucleotides) under Chlamydomyzium sp. RNAcentral describes it as "partial small subunit ribosomal RNA". It matches the Rfam family "Eukaryotic small subunit ribosomal RNA", at positions 587 to 975 of the family's 1831-position model. Lineage: Eukaryota; Oomycota; Myzocytiopsidales; Myzocytiopsidaceae. The record is from RNAcentral.